GGCUCAGGACGAACGCUGGCGGCGUGCCUAAUACAUGCAAGUCGAACGAACUCUGGUAUUGAUUGGUGCUUGCAUCNAUGAUUUACAAUUGAGUGNAGUGGCGAACUGGUGAGUAACACGUGGGAAACCUGCCCAGAAGCGGGGGAUAACACCUGGAAACAGAUGCUAAUACCGCAUAACAACUUGGACCGCAUGGUCCGAGCUUGAAAGAUGGCUUCGGCUAUCACUUUUGGAUGGUCCCGCGGCGUAUUAGCUAGAUGGUGGGGUAACGGCUCACCAUGGCAAUGAUACGUAGCCGACCUGAGAGGGUAAUCGGCCACAUUGGGACUGAGACACGGCCCAAACUCCUACGGGAGGCAGCAGUAGGGAAUCUUCCACAAUGGACGAAAGUCUGAUGGAGCAACGCCGCGUGAGUGAAGAAGGGUUUCGGCUCGUAAAACUCUGUUGUUAAAGAAGAACAUAUCUGAGAGUAACUGUUCAGGUAUUGACGGUAUUUAACCAGAAAGCCACGGCUAACUACGUGCCAGCAGCCGCGGUAAUACGUAGGUGGCAAGCGUUGUCCGGAUUUAUUGGGCGUAAAGCGAGCGCAGGCGGUUUUUUAAGUCUGAUGUGAAAGCCUUCGGCUCAACCGAAGAAGUGCAUCGGAAACUGGGAAACUUGAGUGCAGAAGAGGACAGUGGAACUCCAUGUGUAGCGGUGAAAUGCGUAGAUAUAUGGAAGAACACCAGUGGCGAAGGCGGCUGUCUGGUCUGUAACUGACGCUGAGGCUCGAAAGUAUGGGUAGCAAACAGGAUUAGAUACCCUGGUAGUCCAUACCGUAAACGAUGAAUGCUAAGUGUUGGAGGGUUUCCGCCCUUCAGUGCUGCAGCUAACGCAUUAAGCAUUCCGCCUGGGGAGUACGGCCGCAAGGCUGAAACUCAAAGGAAUUGACGGGGGCCCGCACAAGCGGUGGAGCAUGUGGUUUAAUUCGAAGCUACGCGAAGAACCUUACCAGGUCUUGACAUACUAUGCAAAUCUAAGAGAUUAGACGUUCCCUUCGGGGACAUGGAUACAGGUGGUGCAUGGUUGUCGUCAGCUCGUGUCGUGAGAUGUUGGGUUAAGUCCCGCAACGAGCGCAACCCUUAUUAUCAGUUGCCAGCAUUAAGUUGGGCACUCUGGUGAGACUGCCGGUGACAAACCGGAGGAAGGUGGGGAUGACGUCAAAUCAUCAUGCCCCUUAUGACCUGGGCUACACACGUGCUACAAUGGAUGGUACAACGAGUUGCGAACUCGCGAGAGUAAGCUAAUCUCUUAAAGCCAUUCUCAGUUCGGAUUGUAGGCUGCAACUCGCCUACAUGAAGUCGGAAUCGCUAGUAAUCGCGGAUCACCAUGCCGCGGUGAAUACGUUCCCGGGCCUGUACACACC
RNAcentral lists this ribosomal RNA (1405 nucleotides) under Lactiplantibacillus plantarum. Its description in RNAcentral is "bacterial SSU rRNA". It matches the Rfam family "Bacterial small subunit ribosomal RNA", at positions 21 to 1391 of the family's 1533-position model. The record is from RNAcentral. Lineage: Bacteria; Bacillati; Bacillota; Bacilli; Lactobacillales; Lactobacillaceae.